CCUGGGUGACAGAGUGGGACUCUGUCUCAAAAAAUAAUUUUAAUGAAACCUGCCUCCCAAACAUUAUAUUGCAGCAAUCUUAGAAGAAUGCACCACCUCUGGAAUAGAGAAGCAGUUGGGAAAGAAGUGUUUCAUGUUUCCUACACCUGGGCAACAGGCAGGCCCCUGACAACCACAAGUAAUUCUUUCCUGAGAGCCGGGAUCUUGCAACAGCUUGUCAUUAGUGCUGUUUAGCAUUUAAUUUGCCUUUAGUUAGGUAACAAGCAUUUAUGGAUUACCUGUUAGGAACGAAUGCACAGUAUGGGAACAGAGGGAUGAAUGAGGCACAGACUCUGCUCACAGCCUACUUGGACUAGAAAUAUCUACUCAGGAAAGAAAACUUGAAAGCAGUUAGCAAAUGCAAACCGAUAUACCACUACAGGGAAUCAUCACUCUUUCCGAAUUCAAGGCUCUAACUGCUGGCACACUUCUAAGGAAAAAAGAUAUGCGUUUCUGCAUCCCGUCUCAUGAUGGGAGUGAAGAUAUGCCAGUCACGCCUUCUGUGGGCUAAGGAACGGUCCGGCCUUCUCUUCCUCUGCAGAGUCCGGGCGUGAUGGAGACGCAGGAUGGAGGCAGCCAUCACCCAUUGAAAAACAGCCUGUCUGCCAGAUCUGGUGACCCCCCCCUAAGGUCCUUGGUAAAAACUGAGGCCUAGUUGUGUCCAGGAUGGCAGUGAGCUGGGAUUCAUUCAUGGCAGCCCCCAGGAGAUUGCGUUUUUAAACCAGCCCAAGGCAUGUGGUGGACAUGGAUUGGCAGCACCUACAGAUAACGGGGAAGGCUUUCCAAGGGGCCAAACGGUCCAUAGCAGUUAGGGAAGCGAACGUUAGAAGUGCAGGUCAAGGUCUCAGAGUGAGCAGUGUGGCUGGGCCAGAGAGGGCCUUCCAAGUGCAUAGCCAGUGGAGGCAGCUGGACACAGCUGACAUGACAAGGCAAGGCUGGAUCCGUCAGACUCUGGGAAUGCUCCCAGCCAUCAGGCUUCACGGAGCACUGCUUCUGUGCUAAGUUCCUGAUGCCAAGGAAAGUGAGAGAGACAUGGCCCUGGCCUCAAGAAGCUUUCCCGGCAGAUGGCCGUGUAUCCGGGAUAUGUUAAGGGAGGUGUAAUAUUAACCAAAAGUGGAGCUCUGAGCUCCUACCCUUGGCAGAGGGCUUCUUGGAGUAGAUCAUGCCUGGACUGUGCCCAAGGGCGUCUUGGAGUAGAUCGUGCCUGGAUCGCACUGAAUCAGUGUAAGCUGGGUCAAGUCGGGGAAUGGCAACCCAGGCGGAGGGAAGUGCAUACUUGGGACACGGAGGGCACAGACAAGCCGUGGUUCUCUGGCAGUGAGAUGGGUGCCAGGCCACAAACUGGAUCUGAGAGAUUAUUUCCCCAUCUGGGAACUGCAUGUACUAUGGAUUGUAAAGGGUCAACCUGAGAGACAGAAACAGGGAAAAGGCCCUCAACCAUUCACUUCAGUGUCUGGGGAUGCGUGGACUGGGGAAGAGUCUCUGGCUGGCUCCAAUGCGGUCUCUGCUUCUGCAGAGGGGGCCUUGCUCACACAGUCUUCAGACUUGCAUUCCCAGCUGGUGCCCAGCACCACGAAUAUAUGGGAAGAUAACAACUCUAAAGAGGGAUAAAAUGUAUUUUUUGGUCGGUUUUUAUUUUUCAAACACAUUUAGCAUUCUCUGGUUUUUAAAAAAUGCUUUUAAUAGAGCACAGACUCCUUUCCUCAGUGGUGAGGAGACAGAUUUAAGGGCUGUAGCUCAGACAGUCAGUGCCAGCUAGCAUUCAGGGAUCCAAGUGUGAGAAUCAAAUUGUCGUUUGAUGUGUGGAUUUGGCAAAGGCUCAGCACGCCUUGGAGACGGUGCCCGUGGCCCACACUGGGUGGCAGGUGCUUCUGCCUUGGGCUCUCUGCUCCUGCCGGCCGGGCCUGUCAUCGGCUGAAAAGCCGGCAUCUCCCACACCCAUCAGCUCCUCUCUGGAGCUGAGUCGCUGGACACUGUGACCACACUUAAGAGGCACAGCAUGCUCCUGCUGGGUGGAAUUUUAGGACACCUGGUCUGUGACCUCUUCAUUAUGACAUAAAAGGGACCUUCCCUGCAGUCCCACAAAUAGGAACAGAGCAGCACUGGAGCUGGCGCCCGACUCCCGGCAGGGAAGGGUUCUGUCCUCAUUUGGGCGUAUUCUGUUUCUGCCCACCUGGUGUGUGCCCUCCCUGACUCCUGCCCCAUUUCCAGACCCGGCUCACGCGUACUUCUCACACUAAGCAGUCUCACUGAAGCCACCGCUUGGAAUCUGCGGUGUUUACUGUCUGCCCCGCCCCUUUUGUUUGCCCGUUUGUUAUGGAGGUGUGUGUUUAAACGGGCAAAGCAGCGUGCUGCCAGGGACACCAGGAAAGCCCACUUAGCCAUCAACUGGAGACUCUGACAACUAGAAGAAACCUGGAAGGCCACGUGACAGAUAUGGAGACAGGCUGAGAGAAGGCAAGGGUCAUACAUGCCUGGGUCAUGCAGCCAGCCAGGGACAAAGCCGGGACUUUAGAGCCCAGGUCCUCUGCUCCCUGCCAGGCCUCCUUCCACAAGGACGUGGGCGAUUGCUGAGAGCAGAGCCCCGAGGGAAUGGAAUGGAGGGAACUUGAUUAGAAGGGGGAGAAUACCAAGCACAGGGCCUUGCAGAGCAGGUGCUCCUAAAUGCCCAAGAGAUGCAGGAAGAGAGGGAGAGAUGGGAGUGUCAAGGAAGGGUCUCAGUAGCUCUAUGGGCACCACGUUUCUGGGCUUGGGACAGAGAAAGAAGGGCAGAAGGAAGGGCACCGGAAACACAGCUACACCUAGAUUUGGAAAGCCAGUGACCUCGGAAAGGAUGGUCCGGACAUGGGGAAGACCACGAGCCAGGCUGCACUUGUAGGAAGGACCAGGACCUGAGCCACUGGCAGUAAAGAAAUGUCACUAAGGAAGUGGGGGCAAUGGCAGGAAGUGGGGGUCCAGGGUAAGGAGACAGGAGGCCAGGCUGGGUCUUGUUUGGGAAGAUGCAGCCUCCAUGGGCCAAGCAGGAACAGUAGGAAAACCCUGACGGUGCAGUCCCCACUCUCAGGACGUCCCUGUCUCCAAAGGAAACAGCCACACAACACUGAGAGUGGAAGAGGAUGUCAAUGGGCAGGAAUGGAGCCAAACUCUACGGGAGAACGGAGCUGGCCAGGCAGAGCUGCUGGACACCUGAGGCUCCCUCCUUCCACCACAAACACCACUGCCCCAUGGCCUAGAGAGAACCAUCCUCUGACGUGAGCAGGACAAUGACGAUCACCACUGUGUAAAUCCUGACACUGGACCAGAGGAAUUGACUUACCUGCUUCAGCUCCAGGUGAGCACAGCCAGAACCAUGCUCAGAAGCCAGCACACGAAGGCCUGCAACUGCAGACCCCUAAGAAACCUUGGAGAUGCUCUCAGACAGUGCCCACCUCACUUUGCAGAUGGAGUGACUCACAGCUGGGACAAAGGUCCACUCGCUCUUGCCCCUGCAGUCUACCCACAAAGCAGCCAGGAGAGCUUCUAAAAAUGCAAAGCAGGUGGCGUUCUUCUGAAUAAGCCCUCCCAUGGCUCCCUAUCUUAGUACAAAAGCUGAAAUCUCAUGACCUGUGAGGCCCUCCAGCUGGCUCGCAGCCACCCCUCCAAAACCGAGUGCCUGCCAGCGCAUUGCCCACCCAGCUGCAGCCAGGCCCCCCACUGCUCAGCACCAUCUCCUCAGAGGCCCCCCCAUUCUUCCACGGGCAUGUUCCCUAUCCCCUUAGAGCACGCUUGGGCCUGAACUGAUCUUGGGUUCUGUCGCCUGUCUACCCCACUGGAAUGCAAACUCCACAGAGGCAGGGCUUUCUCUGUCCCCUGCCGCAUCCACAGUGCCGGGAACAGUGCCUGGCAUGGAGCAGGUGCAGUCGAAUGACCGACUCCAUGAAGUGAGGUGAGUCACCCACCACGCAGGGAAGAGUGGACAUGGGUAAACAGGCGCUGCCUGGGCUCCAGGCACACUGACUGCAUCCUGGCUGCUUGACUGAUGUGGUUAAUAAAUUACUAGAAGGCAAGCCCUCUAGGGCACAGCAGACUGGAUACUUGAUUAACCCAGGGUCUGUGUUAAUUCCAGGUGCCAAAAUAAUUUCUAGAAUUUCACCUGAGACCUAGAGGUAGUUCAUUUGAAAAUAAACAUGAUUUUCCAGAAGGCUCGAGCUUUCUCAAGGAAAGCAAUGCCCUGGACUCUCCUUCCACAGGAAAUCAGGAAGACAGGCUUUGGAAUUCCCAGUGGGGAAGCACAGUUGGAGGGGCCGGCCUCGGGCACCACAGUGCGCAACGCUGAACACAGGGCUCCCAGGCAGAGACUGGGAGGUCCCGACACCUGGACCCACAGGUGCACCCGCAUCUCCCAUGCUUUUACCCUUUCUCCUCCACCCCAUUUAUAGAAGUGAUCAGAGGUGAAUGAGGAAAUAGUGGGGGAACUGACCCCCUGGAAAGUCUGAAUUUGAGUGAAAUAAUGGGGAGAAGUGAACCCCUGGAAAGUCUGAAUUCUGCUUCAUCAAAGCCCAACACGGGCCUGUUUCCCUCUGCUGUCAACCCCAGGGAAUGGGGUGUCAA
RNAcentral lists this long non-coding RNA (4629 nucleotides) under Homo sapiens (human). Its description in RNAcentral is "HSALNT0406328". Lineage: Eukaryota; Metazoa; Chordata; Mammalia; Primates; Hominidae. The record is from RNAcentral.